RNAcentral lists this ribosomal RNA (253 nucleotides) under uncultured bacterium. Its description in RNAcentral is "partial 16S ribosomal RNA". It matches the Rfam family "Bacterial small subunit ribosomal RNA", at positions 524 to 776 of the family's 1533-position model. The record is from RNAcentral.
UACAUGGGGUGCAAACGUUGCUCGGAAUUAUUGGGCGUAAAGCGCGCGUAGGCGGUUACUCAAGUCGGAUGUGAAAGCCCUCGGCUUAACUGAGGAAGUGCACCCGAAACUGAGUAGCUAGAGUACUAAAGAGGGUCGCGGAAUUCCCGGUGUAGAGGUGAAAUUCGUAGAUAUUCGCAAGAACACCAGUGGCGAAGGCGGCUUACUGGUCCGGAUCUGACGCUGAGGCGCGAAAGCGUGGGGAGCAAACAGG